GAUGGCGACCGGCGCACGGGUGCGUAACACGUAUCCAAUCUGCCCGCGGCUCGGGGAUAGCCCAUCCGGAAAAGAUGGAUUAAUACCCGAUGGCGUGGUCACUCCGCAUGGAGUUUCCACUAAGGAUUUAUUGGUAUAGGAUGGCGAUGCGUGGCAUUAGGUAGUAGGCGGGGUAACGGCCCACCUAGCCGACGAUGCCUAGGGGUUCUGAGAGGAAGGUCCCCCACACUGGAACUGAGACACGGUCCAGACUCCUACGGGAGGCAGCAGUGAGGAAUAUUGGUCAAUGGUCGGAAGACUGAACCAGCCAAGUAGCGUGAAGGAUGAAGGUUCUAUGGAUUGUAAACUUCUUUAUACGGGAAUAAAACCACCUACGUGUAGGUGCUUGUAUGUACCGUAUGAAUAAGCAUCGGCUAACUCCGUG
This 424-nucleotide ribosomal RNA is filed under the name uncultured bacterium. RNAcentral's name for it is "bacterial SSU rRNA". It matches the Rfam family "Bacterial small subunit ribosomal RNA", at positions 87 to 507 of the family's 1533-position model. The record is from RNAcentral.